CCCGACUGCUAUUUGGGUGAGAAUAAGCCAUGCAAGUCGAAUGGAAUACCAAAAUAUUCCAUGGCAAACUGCUCAAUAACACGUGAUCAACUUACCCUAUGGAAAACAAUAACCUCUGGAAACGGAGGAUAAUGGUUUAUAGUUGAAAAGGCUUGGAAAAGUUUUUCAAUAAAAGGGAAUAAUAAAAAUGGUUAUUAUUUUGCCAUAGGAUAGGAUUGCGGUCGAUUAUGGCUGUUGGUGAGGUAAUGGCUCACCAAACCAAUAAUCGAUAGGGGCCGUGAGAGCGGGAGCCCCGAGAUGGGUACUGAGACAACGACCCAGGCCUUACGAGGUGCAGCAGGCGCGAAAACUCCGCAAUACACGAAAGUGUGACGGGGUUACCCAAAGUGCUUAAUUUUUAAGCUGUGGUAAGUGUGUAAUGUACCUUACUAGAAAGGAGAGGGCAGGCUGGUGCCAGCCGCCGCGGUAAAACCAGCUCUUCAAGUGGUCGGGAUAUUAUUGGGCUUAAAGUGUCCGUAGCUUGUAUAAUAAGUUCCUGGUAAAAUCUAAUAGCUUAACUAUUAGUAUGCUAGGAAUACUGUCAUACUAGAGGGCGGGAGAGGUUUGAGGUACUUCAGGGGUAGGGGUGAAAUCCUAUAAUCCUUGAAGGACCACCAGUGGCGAAGGCGUCAGACUGGAACGCGCCUGACAGUGAGGGACGAAAGCCAGGGGAGCGAACCGGAUUAGAUACCCGGGUAGUCCUGGCCGUAAACGAUGCACACUAGGUGUUGGUAUGGCUAUGAGCCAUAUCAGUGCCGAAGGGAAACCAUUAAGUGUGCCGCCUGGGAAGUACGGUCGCAAGGCUAAAACUUAAAGGAAUUGGCGGGGGAGCACCACAAGGGGUGAAGCCUGCGGUUCA
RNAcentral lists this ribosomal RNA (898 nucleotides) under uncultured archaeon. RNAcentral's name for it is "bacterial SSU rRNA". It matches the Rfam family "Archaeal small subunit ribosomal RNA", at positions 21 to 904 of the family's 1478-position model. The record is from RNAcentral.